This is a non-coding RNA of Arabidopsis thaliana (thale cress), 445 nucleotides long. The record is from RefSeq. Lineage: Eukaryota; Viridiplantae; Streptophyta; Magnoliopsida; Brassicales; Brassicaceae.
UGAAGCAUUAUAAAUGGGGUGAAGAGAGACGUAGAAGACUAAAGCAACCACUAACAGUUAGCUUCGUUUUCAUUAAUCUAAGGAAGGGAAAGAGAUAUGGAGGAGGAAGAAACCGAGAAAGAAGACGACGACGUUAAGAAGCACGUCGAGCUACGGCUAAUGGAAGUUAGCUCGGUUCCGUUAUCUUUCUCUGGUUCUGGUUAACAACAGAUCAAGGAAGAAAACAAACGGCAAGUCAACAGAGGCAAAGGGAAGGCUACGCCUUUCUUCUUCGUAUUUUCUCUUUAAUUUUUCUUUCUGUUUUCUCUUAUUUUUCCGGUGAUGUGUAGAUUCUCUAACGAGAAGUAUAUAUAUCCCUAUUGUUUGUAAUAGUUUUAUGAUCUUGUUGUUUCUUCUAAAACUAUCUUUUUAUACAUUAAGAUCCAAGUUACGAUUUACAAGUAUA